This is a long non-coding RNA of Mauremys mutica (yellowpond turtle), 2532 nucleotides long. RefSeq lists it as uncharacterized. The transcript has 6 exons. The record is from RefSeq and is a predicted model, not a curated record. NCBI's taxonomy places the organism in Eukaryota, Metazoa, Chordata, Testudines, Geoemydidae.
UUGAGCAUGUGUUAAUAUAGUAUGGCCCAGAUCCUCUGCUGCCCAAAGGUCAGCUUGGUGCAGCAGAGAAGCAGAUAUGGCCUCCUGACUCUCAGACCAGAUUCUUGCUGAGGGCUUCUCUAACCUACCCCAGUUAGCACUGGUCUCCAAGGGAACAUAUACCAGCUGGGGAUUGCCAGGGCACAUGAUCUACCAGCCCCCUCAACACACCCUACCCCCAACAUGCAAGAAGGAAGAGGAUGUCACAAAAGCGGAGUAUGGCAGGUCUGCACCAGCUGAUAGCAUCCCCCUAUUAGGAAUGAGGACCCACAGUUGAGAUCAUAUGGGAUCCUGAGUGAGAAGAGAGGAGUCCACAAGGGAAUCCCUCUACUAAGAUUUGGUCAACACUAUUAAACAAAGUAAAUGUAUUCAAUGGAAUUCUUACAAUUCACUGGGACAAAAAGUCUUCCAAGAUGCCUCCAUAAUUAGAGGGAGAAUUCUAAAAGGCUGUGUUUUAAGGAUCAGUGAUGUAAAAUGACACAGAAUUCUCCAGUGAUGUCACUGGUAGCACUUUGUGUGAAAUGGAGACUGGAAAAAAAGAUUUUUGCUCUUAGAUGCAUCUUCUGCACCAGAACCAUUCUUCUGUACUCAAGCACAGCAGUGGAUGCAAUGAUGUUGAGCAUAGUUGCACUACAUUUUGGAAUGGGCUGAUUUGUCUUAGGCUAUUACUGUCUAUUACUGCUGGAAGUCUCGGGGAAAGGUGGGAAGCGGCGAAUUCUGGCUAUCUGCCUAAAGAGAAAUCAAUGAAACAAAUUAAUCCUUCGCAGGCUGCAAUGACACAGUAAUCCAUCAUUCAGAGCUGCUUUUAUACACCAAAUCAGAGAGCAGAGGAAAGAGCCCAGGGGGACAUCACAGACAACAACUUACACCAACACUGGGAAAAUACUAAGGAAUCCGUUUAUUUAAAGAGGAUAGAUUUCAGUUGAUUGCCUAUUUCAUCCUAUAAAGAUUUUUCUUCCAUCCUGUUGUGAACCCUGAAUGGCUAUAUCUUCUGAACACUCGGCUCUCUGGAAGUUGGCUUCCAUCAAUUGACUGUGAAUAGGGUUUGAAUAAAUUAGUACUUUAACCACGAUGGGCAGGUAGCGGAAAAAGUUACAUAUUCAGUUCGGUUUCCAGCCGUUUGCAGCUCCAGUCUGCUCCCCCUGUAAUCGGUAUCUCACGGAGAUCAGGGAAUGCAGGAUCAGGCCCCUACUGCAUUUUCUGCUUUCAGCAGGAAUGUGCCCAGGCUACAUGGGAUCCACCUUUCGAACUCAAUUUGGCUGCUGACGGAUUUAAGAUCUAACUCUUAAAAGGGGGUCUCGUCUCUUCUCUCCCCGCAGCUGCAAUCUCCAUCCACUUCAGCGGGAGUCGCACCCUUAUCUCCGAGGGGAGCGUGGGCUCCUUUGUGGCUUGUUAUCUCGUGUGUAUUGCUUAACAAGCAAGAAGGGAUUGUGCACUGCUAAGAGAGAUGGGAGGUCUGAAAUUCGGGGGAAACUGCAUCCUGCUGCGCGCAGGGCACCAUACUGGCAGGUGCUGAGAACAAGCAGCUCUGACUGAGAGCGUUUCCAGAGCCUAUAAUAGGAUAGGAUCCUCCACUGACCAGCAAAUUUUACAGAAGUCUAAGCCAGUGUCAUGUACUGAGAGCCACAGCUGUCUUAGCAUUACACAUGUAAAGCAACAUGUUUGGUGGAAUGUAAACCGAAGUAGCAGACUGGGGCGGGGCAAAGGAGAGCACAUAGAUUUGAACCAAAUCAUGAAUGAAGUACAGUAACUUUAAAAAAAAAUUCCAAAGGACGGAACGUAAAAGAGAGCGAGUGGGGUCAAAUAAGGCUGAGAUAGUUAUAGGUGGGCGAGAGAAACUGCUUGGAAUCUAAAGUGCAUGGACAUUUGCACGACCACACGAGAUUGUCCAGAUCUAAUCCUGUCUGGUGCUGCAGAUGAUAAACUCUCAGCAAUACGACUCAGUGAGGAUGUUGUUUAAGGGCAUGCAUUCGGAUGAGUCAGAUAUUAAAUUGCAUCUAUAUACCCUACUUUCCAGCAGGUGCUGUUAACCCAAAUCCUUUAUUUCAGUAAUGAAGAAGUAGCCCAUUUCAAUUUUAUGAGCGACAAAUGUAGCGAUCUCUAACUUUCCUUGUCUGCUGGAAGUUUCAAGGCAAACUUAUGUGACUUAUUGUUCAAACAAAGCAAAGGAAGCCCUCCUUAGCUCAUAGUGCUUAGCCUCCAGAAAUAUCUGGUAUACAAAGGGGGAUGUAAUUUAUAGAGGCGAGAGUUCAGAGUAGGGAAUCCAUGUACCCGAGACAGCAAUGUCUGACCACAUUAGAGCUGUCAAUGGAUCCCUCUGUUAUAAGGACUCCCACAAUAUCUGAUCUCGCCUGUCAAAGUCAGUGCAAAAUGCAACUAGCACAUACCUUCCGGAGCCCACGCUGUUGAUGGGAAGGAGCGCUGGUUAACGGUUAGAGCAGAAAAGUAGGUGGCUGAGACCUGUUUUAUUCCCAAUUCACUGUGUGUGUGACC